Hermetia illucens (black soldier fly) is the source of this 527-nucleotide long non-coding RNA. RefSeq lists it as uncharacterized. Lineage: Eukaryota; Metazoa; Arthropoda; Insecta; Diptera; Stratiomyidae. The transcript has 3 exons. The record is from RefSeq and is a predicted model, not a curated record.
GAGUUUGUUUGAAAUUUUGUAACGCUAAGUGUUACACUUUUUUUUAACCAGUUCUAUUGUAGGAAGUUGACCUUCUGUGCUUCCUCUUCAGCAUUUAUCCCGUUGCGACCCGAAGUCGACUCGGUAUUAAAAUAUUUAGCUAAAUUUAAAAAAUUGUGUUGAAAUAAAUUAGAAGCAUUAACGAAAACUUGUUUCUUAUCCAUGAGGAUCUGCAUUCUGGAUAUGAAUGGUUCUGGGGACUGUGGCGGGGUUAAUAAAGGAGGCAGACACAUGGAAGCCCAUCUAAGCAGAAAAAAUGACAAUUAAAGGAAGUUCAAAUGACAGCAACAAGUAGGCACGGUUUCUGUGAUAACAUUUUGCACAAUUGUAGACGACUAGUGUUUAUCCAUAAGCUGGCGAUGAACAAACUAAUCUUCAGCUUCAAUUUUUGAAGUAGUUCACCAUCGAUGGCCAUCAUACUGAUUUUCAAGUGCUCAAUAAUAUAAACGUUAUCGCGAUGAUUCCUCCGAAUAAAAACAUGAAGCGAU